This 823-nucleotide long non-coding RNA is filed under the name Phasianus colchicus (ring-necked pheasant). RNAcentral describes it as "lncRNA (ENSPCLG00000008452.1)". The record is from RNAcentral. Lineage: Eukaryota; Metazoa; Chordata; Aves; Galliformes; Phasianidae.
AGGGUUUCCCUGCUGGCUGCCCUUCCCCUGGUGCUGAUCAGUGAGGCAGGCUGCGAUCUGGUCCUCUCACUCCAAUGGCACAGAGCUAUUUCAGAGCAGCCAGGACCUGCCCAUGCUGCACCCUGUGGGAGUGAGGGUGUUUUAUAAAGUGCAGGAAGCCAUGUGAAAACCAACACCAAGCAGGGCUGCCAUGGAAGAGGAGCAAGCAGAGCAGAGUGUUACAAGGCUCCUACACGCUUUCCCAGGCGAAGACCUCUCUGCUCCUUCUGCAUUUUCAUUCUCGUGUUGGCCUCUGCCCACUGAAUAACAACAGUAAUUGGAUGUGUUUGAAUAGUGCUGCUCAUUGUUUGGCUGGAACAGAAUGUAUUGCUUUGGUGUGAUGGUUCAUGGAGAUGCAGGAGGACCUCUAUCCCAACUCUUUGCUCAUAUAACACAGCAGCUGGAUGUGACAGAGCAUCUCGUGUAGCUUUGGACUGAUGUCAGUAACCCAGAAGUUCUACUGCUCAGCUCAUCUCACAAGCUGAACCCUGGUGGUCAGUUCCCCCCCCACCUCAAGCCCUCAUCCAGCCCCCUGGGUUUCUCCAUGCCUAGAAUGUCACUAAGGACAAUCCUGCUUCCUGCAGCAGGGAGGAGGGCUGUGUUACCACCAAUGGGGUGUCAGACUCCCAGCAAGGACUCAAGGUAAACAGUUCAGCUUUGGUGCUUUAUUUGAAAGUUGCUGCUUGUGUUCCAGAGCUCGUGUGCCUGAGAGAUUGUCUGUGAUUUUAUGUAUCUUUCCUGGCUGUAUCAGUUGCUCCAAUAAAAGAUACCCCUUUCCUUACCA